AGCGGCGCAAGGGAGAGUAACGCGUAGUUAUCUACCCCAAGGCCCGGAAUAGCUGCGGGAAACUGCAGGUAAUGCCGGAUAAUAUCCCCGGAUCAAAGGUGUGAUUCCGCCUUGGGAGGAGACUGCGUUGUACUAGCUUGUUGGUAGGGUAAUGGCCUACCAAGGCUACGAUGCAUAGCGGGCGUGAGAGCGUGGCCCGUCUCACUGGGACUGAAACACUGCCCAGACACCUACGGGUGGCUGCAGUCGAGAAUCUUCGGCAAUGGGCGAAAGCCUGACCGAGCAAUGCCGCGUGCGGGAUGAAGGCCCUCGGGUUGUAAACCGCUGUCGUAGGGGAGAAAGGUCUCAUGAAGAAUGAGAUUUGAUCUAUCCUAGGAGGAAGUCCGGGCUAAGUUCGUGCCAGCAGCCGCGGUAACACGAACCGGACAAACGUUAUUCGGAAUUAUUGGGCUUAAAGGGUGCGUAGGCGGUGCGGUAAGUGCGGUGUGAAAGCCCUCGGCUCAACCGAGGAAUUGCGCUGCAUACUGCCGUGCUAGAGGGAGACAGAGGUAAGCGGAACUGAUGGUGGAGCGGUGAAAUGCGUUGAUAUCAUCAGGAACACCGGUGGCGAAAGCGGCUUACUGGGUCUUCUCUGACGCUGAGGCACGAAAGCUAGGGUAGCGAACGGGAUUAGAUACCCCGGUAGUCCUAGCCGUAAACGAUGGGCACUUGA
This 712-nucleotide ribosomal RNA is filed under the name uncultured bacterium. RNAcentral's name for it is "bacterial SSU rRNA". It matches the Rfam family "Bacterial small subunit ribosomal RNA", at positions 94 to 820 of the family's 1533-position model. The record is from RNAcentral.